GAUGAACGCUGGCGGCGUGCCUAAUACAUGCAAGUCGAGCGAACAGACGAGGAGUUCUCUCCUCUGACGUUCGCGGCGGACGGGUGAGUCCUACGUGGCUAACCUGCCUAUCAGCCUGAGAUCACUUCUGGACCCCGAUGCCCAUACCGGAUAAUAUCUUGAACCGGAUGGUUCGUUGGUCAACGACCGAUCUGCUGUUUCUUAUAGUUGCAUCCGCGCCGGAUUAGCUAGUUGGUAGGGUAACGGCUCACCAAGGCGACGAUGCGUAGUCGUACUGAGAGGGUGAUGGGCCACACGGGAACUGAGACACGGUCCAGACUCCGACGGGAGGCAGCAGUGGGGAAUCUUCGGAAAUGGGCGAAAGCCUGACGGAGCAACGCCGCGUGAGUGAGGAAGGUCUUCGGAUCGUAAAGCACUGUGAUUAGGGAGGAACAAAAGUGUAUUAAUAGAGGUACGUCUUGACGGUACCUAAAGAAUAAGCCACGGCUAACUACGUG
RNAcentral lists this ribosomal RNA (497 nucleotides) under uncultured bacterium. RNAcentral's name for it is "partial 16S ribosomal RNA". It matches the Rfam family "Bacterial small subunit ribosomal RNA", at positions 28 to 507 of the family's 1533-position model. The record is from RNAcentral.